GACGAACGCUGGCGGCGUGCCUAACACAUGCAAGUCGAACGGAAAGGCCCUGCUUUUGUUGGGCGCUCGAGUGGCGAACGCGUGAGUAACACGUGAGUAUCCCGCCCUUGUCUUUGGGAUAUCUUUAGGAAACUGGGGCUCAUAUCGGAUAGGAGCUCCUGCUGCAUGUUGGGGGAUGGAAAGUUUCCGCGGUUGGGGAUGGACUCGCGGCUUAUCCGCUUGUUGGUGGGGUAGUGGCUUACCAAGGCUUUGACGGGUAGCCGGCCUGAGAGGGUGACCGGCCACAUUGGGACUGAGAUACGGCCCAGACUCCUACGGGAGGCAGCAGUGGGGAAUAUUGCACAAUGGGCGGAAGCCUGAUGCAGCAACGCCGCGUGCGGGAUGACGGCCUUCGGGUUGUAAACCGCUUUCGACUGUGACGAAGCGUGAGUGACGGUAAUGGGUAAAGAAGCACCGGCUAACUACGUG
RNAcentral lists this ribosomal RNA (468 nucleotides) under uncultured bacterium. Its description in RNAcentral is "partial 16S ribosomal RNA". It matches the Rfam family "Bacterial small subunit ribosomal RNA", at positions 28 to 507 of the family's 1533-position model. The record is from RNAcentral.